RNAcentral lists this small RNA (634 nucleotides) under Pan troglodytes (chimpanzee). Its description in RNAcentral is "processed transcript". The record is from RNAcentral. Lineage: Eukaryota; Metazoa; Chordata; Mammalia; Primates; Hominidae.
GCUGGCCUUCCCGCUCCUGGCCGCGCCCGCCACGCGAGCCGCGCUCUGCGGUUCCGCGCGCCUGCUCAACUGCACGGCGCCUGGUCCCGACGCCGCCGCCCGCUGCUGCGCACCGGCCACCUUCGCGGGGCUGGUGCUGGUGGGCCUGGGCGUGGCCACCGUCAAGGCCAACAUCACGCCCUUCGGGGCCGACCAGGUUAAAGAUCGAGGUCCGGAAGCCACUAGGAGAUUUUUUAAUUGGUUUUAUUGGAGCAUUAACCUGGGAGCGAUCCUGUCGUUAGGUGGCAUUGCCUAUAUUCAGCAGAACGUCAGCUUUGUCACUGGUUAUGCGAUCCCCACUGUCUGCGUCGGCCUUGCUUUUGUGGUCUUCCUCUGUGGCCAGAGCGUUUUCAUCACCAAGCCUCCUGAUGGCAGUGCCUUCACCGACAUGUUCAAGAUACUGACGUAUUCCUGCUGUUCCCAGAAGCGAAGUGGAGAGCGCCAGAGUAAUGGAUGCAGACAACAUAUGUUUUACAGAGUCUUCAUUUGAGGAUUCCAGAAAUUUCAAAUAUUACAACCACUCCUCACACGAAAAGCAAAUGCAGAUUCAUUUGGAAAGAAAUCUUUUCCCAGUUCCGUUGUCUCUAAACUGAAG